CAGAAUUACAUUAACUUUUGCCAUCUCUUCAUCCUUAUCCUCAUCCACAUCCUCAUCCUCUGCCAGCAAAAUUACAACUUUUGUUAUCUCCUCCUCAUCCGUCGUAACCCAUCAUCACCACCGCAAACUUGUACCGGUCCCCGUCGUAUCUCCAGACAAUUCCUGGUGCUACCCCGCCUCCAAACCCCUUCCCCCACCGUCUUUCUCCCGUCAAAACAUCUAGCUGGAAUCUACUUUCCUUGUUGAUUUUACCAUCUUCACCAUCAAUCUCUUUUAUCUGUUCCAUCUCGUUCACCUCUCAAAUCCAACAUUAAAAACCCUAACUCAAACAUAGAUUUAUUCAACUCCAACUAAAUUAGUUAAAUCUCUCAACACAAAACACACAAAAUUAGUCUAACUGUAAUAUAAGAAAUCCAACAAAUGAAAGAAAAAAAAAAGGAAAAUUAUUAUUGUUCACCAUCGCUUUUUUAACACUAAAACCCUAUCUUUUCGCCAGAAAAUAUUAUGGUUUACAGAAAGUGGGUCAUGGCGAAGCAAGUUAAAUUUUGAAUCUUGUCGUGUGGGAUGCUCUUCUCGCCGAACUCUCUAACUAUCGAUCUGGGUUACGUCCUAGCCGCUAUAGUUAAUCUUCUUCUCUAUUUUCAGCUUUAUUUUGAGAGAAUUCAUGCCCAAAUUAGGUGAGAGUUCUUGUUAAUUGGAAAUUUAGGGAAGAAUGAAUAAAUUGAUUUUUAUUUUAUGAGUUUGAUUUGGGCUAACAUAGCUUAAAUCUGGCUACAGACGAUUAUGGGGGAAAAGAAAAGAAAAUUUGAAAAAAGAAAAGGAAAGGAACAGGAGAAUCUGGCUAUGAAUGAUUGGAUGAGAGAGUGAAAAUUAAUUUUUUUUGUUUAUUACGAGUUUAAAUAAUCUUAUUAGUUUUUUAAAGUAAUUUUUAAUUUUUUA
Molecule: long non-coding RNA, 939 nt
Filed under: Panax ginseng (ginseng)
Lineage: Eukaryota; Viridiplantae; Streptophyta; Magnoliopsida; Apiales; Araliaceae
Description: long non-coding RNA (PGIN_LNC003818)
Source: RNAcentral